UGGGAGCCACGAGAGAGCCGUCGGGGUUCGUCGGCUGUGGGAGCUGGCGUGGGUUUCGUUUCUCCGGGUCCGCCGCAAAGCCUCUUAAGCCCCGCCGGAGGCCGUCCGGAGCCGCGAGAGAGCCGCCGGGGUUCGUCGGCUGCGGGAGCUGGCGUGGGUUUCGUUUCUCCGGGUCCGGAGCCGCGAGAGAGCCGCCGGGGUUCGUCGGCUGCGGGAGCUGGCGCUGCGGUGAGGUGUCUCCCGGCGAAGAUCAGCCGGAACCGGUGAGCCGUUCUGUUAGCGACGAGGCGGCCGGCGCUCGGGAGCCGUUCGGGACCGCCUCCGGCUUCUCGGAGUCGAGGAGCGAGCGGGAUGGGGCCGUAUUCCUCCCACUUCGGCGCUGCCGAAACGGGUUUCUCCUGUUGAAGGCUGCAGCGGAGCCUCUCGUCAUCCCGAACCGCGAGAAGGUGACACGUGCGAGUGACUUGCACGACGAGAAGAUAUUUCUACGGAGGAGUCGCGGUGGACCGAUGAGGGGAGACGGUGCCGGACCAAGGUGGUAG
Molecule: long non-coding RNA, 542 nt
Filed under: Chrysolophus pictus (golden pheasant)
Lineage: Eukaryota; Metazoa; Chordata; Aves; Galliformes; Phasianidae
Description: lncRNA (ENSCPIG00010014522.1)
Source: RNAcentral